This 542-nucleotide ribosomal RNA is filed under the name Alternaria sp. N.SBA10(BJTC). RNAcentral describes it as "eukaryotic LSU rRNA". The stretch from base 167 to 320 matches the Rfam family "5.8S ribosomal RNA". The record is from RNAcentral. Lineage: Eukaryota; Fungi; Ascomycota; Dothideomycetes; Pleosporales; Pleosporaceae.
AAUUUCCAAAAUGAGGCGGGCUGGACCUCUCGGGGUUACAGCCUUGCUGAAUUAUUCACCCUUGUCUUUUGCGUACUUCUUGUUUCCUUGGUGGGUUCGCCCACCACUAGGACAAACAUAAACCUUUUGUAAUUGCAAUCAGCGUCAGUAACAAAUUAAUAAUUACAACUUUCAACAACGGAUCUCUUGGUUCUGGCAUCGAUGAAGAACGCAGCGAAAUGCGAUAAGUAGUGUGAAUUGCAGAAUUCAGUGAAUCAUCGAAUCUUUGAACGCACAUUGCGCCCUUUGGUAUUCCAAAGGGCAUGCCUGUUCGAGCGUCAUUUGUACCCUCAAGCUUUGCUUGGUGUUGGGCGUCUUGUCUCUAGCUUUGCUGGAGACUCGCCUUAAAGUAAUUGGCAGCCGGCCUACUGGUUUCGGAGCGCAGCACAAGUCGCACUCUCUAUCAGCAAAGGUCUAGCAUCCAUUAAGCCUUUUUUUCAACUUUUGACCUCGGAUCAGGUAGGGAUACCCGCUGAACUUAAGCAUAUCAAUAAGCGGAGGAA